Small nuclear RNA from Ochotona curzoniae (black-lipped pika), 106 nucleotides. The record is from RefSeq and is a predicted model, not a curated record. NCBI's taxonomy places the organism in Eukaryota, Metazoa, Chordata, Mammalia, Lagomorpha, Ochotonidae.
GAACAUAGACAGCAGCACAUAUACUAAAAUUAAAACAAUAGAGAGAAGAUUAGCAUGGCCCCCAUGCAAGAAUGACACACAGGGAGUUGGGGCAUCCUGAGAGCUG